This 864-nucleotide ribosomal RNA is filed under the name uncultured Methanocella sp. Its description in RNAcentral is "bacterial SSU rRNA". It matches the Rfam family "Archaeal small subunit ribosomal RNA", at positions 1 to 872 of the family's 1478-position model. The record is from RNAcentral. Lineage: Archaea; Methanobacteriati; Methanobacteriota; Methanomicrobia; Methanocellales; Methanocellaceae.
UUCUGGUUGAUCCUGCCAGAGGUCACUGCUAUCGGUGUCCGAUUAAGCCAUGCGAGUCGAGAGGUGUAAGACCUCGGCAGACUGCUCAGUAACACGUGGAUAACCUGCCCAAGGGUCCGGGAUAACCCCGGGAAACUGGGGAUAAUACCGGAUGGGUCACCAGUGCUGGAAUGCUUGGUGGUCGAAAGGUGACGCCUUUGGAUGGGUCUGCGGCGGAUUAGGUUGACGCCGGUGUAACGUACCGGCGUGCCUGUAAUCCGUACGGGUUGUGGGAGCAAGAGCCCGGAGAUGGAUUCUGAGACACGAAUCCAGGCCCUACGGGGCGCAGCAGGCGCGAAAACUCUACAAUGCAGGCAACUGCGAUAGGGGGACAUCGAGUGGCAUCCACCUUGGGUGUCUGUCCAACCGUCUAAAAAACGGUUGUUAGCAAGGGCCGGGCAAGGCCGGUGCCAGCCGCCGCGGUAAUACCGGCGGCUCGAGUGGUGGCCGAUAUUAUUGAGUCUAAAGGGUCCGUAGCCGGCUUUGCAAGUCCCCUGGGAAAUCCGGCGGCUUAACCGUUGGGCUUUCAUGGGAUACUACAUUGCUUGGGACUGGGAGAGGUAGGAGGUACUCGGGGGGUAGGGGUGAAAUCCUGUAAUCCUCCGGGGACCACCGGUGGCGAAGGCGUCCUACCAGAACAGGUCCGACGGUGAGGGACGAAAGCUAGGGGCACGAACCGGAUUAGAUACCCGGGUAGUCCUAGCCGUAAACGAUGCCCGCUAGGUGUCACGACGGUCGUGAAUCGUCGUGGUGCCGUAGGGAAGCCGCGAAGCGGGCCACUUGGGAAGUACGGCCGCAAGGCUGAAACUUAAAGGAAUUGGCGGG